AUCUGCCUUAGAAACUGUUAAUGAGUAGAAACUACUCAUUACCUAUACUAAAGCGCUAGCUCCCCGUGAACAGAAACUCUCAAAUUGAUUUACUUUUUUGCCCCUCAUUGUUUCUUUAUUACAAUGCUGCCAUUCGACUUUCAUAGAGUGAGAGAGACUGGGAGAUAGAUAGAGGUCUUUUGGGUCUUCCGCGAGAGACAUGCACCGAAAGAACUCAAAGAAGAAGAGGGAAAUUCACAUCACUAGACUGAUCGGAGAGAGAAGGAGAAGCAUCUUUUUGAUAGUACAAAUAUAAGAGAAGAAGAAAAGGGAGACGAAAAUCGAAGGAAAGCAGAGGCAGAGAUUGAAGGAAUUCAGUAGAUACUUUUGAAGAUCAAACGUGAAAGAAGAAAAGAAAACAAAGCUUUGACUAUGGAAUUGUUGGCUGUGGCAUAUUCGUCCCGUGCAGCCAAAAUUGAGGAGAUUAUAUAUAGGCUGGACCUGCUGGAAUUUUCAGCCACACAUAAGUAUUCUCUUGCAUCUAAUUCCACUUGCAAUGUGGAAGAGGCUGGUGAUCUGUACAAGGCAGAAAUGGAGGAAUAUAUGCAUAGAUUUGAUAAUGGAAGAAUUAGACAAAGAGAAAUAUAACUAAUGCAUGCACCCUAUCAGUGAAGUUGAUUCCACAGUAGCAUCCUUCUCUGGAGGAGCAAUUGGACUGAUCUUAGCACUGACAGUGGUUGAGAACACAUUUUGGUCAAUUUGUUUUGACAUUGACAAAAUAUGAUAGGGAAAUUAUGUUAAAAAGAAAAAUGAGAGUAUAGAGGGAUAAAUACAUGGCCUAAUGCAAAUCCUGUGCAAGUAUGGAGUGAGUUGAUAUCCGACAUUGAAUUUUUUUUUUCCAAAGGUCAACAAGGAUGGUGAAGAGUAUGGUGGAGGCUGAGAUUUAAAAGAUUUCGUAAAUUUCAUCAAUGAGAAAUGUGGGACUAGCAGAGAUGCGAAAGGACAACUUACUUCCAAAGUUAGUACCAUUUUAAACCAAUGAACAUAUCUCAUCAGUUUCCUUACCAAUUGUCUUCUCUUAAGCAUGUACGUUAGAAUAGUCUUAAGUUUGGAUGAGUUGGUGAAGAAGUUUGUGAACCGGCUUUUAUGAUAUGUAAAACGAUAGCAUAUUCGGCAAGCAUUAUAAGAUUGUAAUUUCUACUCUAUCACCUAUAAAAACACAAAUCCGCAGCAUCGCUCAGGCGAACUUUCUAGUUUA
Rosa rugosa (rugosa rose) is the source of this 1237-nucleotide long non-coding RNA. RefSeq lists it as uncharacterized. The record is from RefSeq and is a predicted model, not a curated record. Lineage: Eukaryota; Viridiplantae; Streptophyta; Magnoliopsida; Rosales; Rosaceae. The transcript is spliced from 3 exons.